GUGGGGCUGCUAGGCGCGCCAGGUGCACUAUGCCCCGGGGUCGAUAGCCUCUGGUCCGGGGAGUUGCCGCUGAUACGAUCUUGGUCGCAUCACGCGACGCCCACCUUACUUUCGGACCCAGGAGCUUGUUACCACCAGCGGCCAUGUGGCUCCACC
Molecule: non-coding RNA, 156 nt
Filed under: Caldilineaceae bacterium
Lineage: Bacteria; Bacillati; Chloroflexota; Caldilineae; Caldilineales; Caldilineaceae
Description: 6S RNA
Rfam family: 6S / SsrS RNA
About the family: E. coli 6S RNA was the first non coding RNA to be sequenced, but its function was unknown until recently. It consists of 184 nucleotides that fold into an extended hairpin structure with a large single-stranded internal bulge. The 6S RNA specifically associates with RNA polymerase holoenzyme containing the sigma70 specificity factor.
Source: RNAcentral